Molecule: long non-coding RNA, 999 nt
Filed under: Mustela putorius furo (domestic ferret)
Lineage: Eukaryota; Metazoa; Chordata; Mammalia; Carnivora; Mustelidae
Description: lncRNA (ENSMPUG00000030154.1)
Source: RNAcentral
ACUUGAGUGAAAUGAAUAGGAAUAUAAGCAUCCACUCCCAUUAGUUUUUCUAAUGAGACAGGCUAUGUCCAAGUCUGCUAUAACAAUUGGUUCGACUUGAGAUGUGACACCUAGCCUUGCAGGCCUUGAUCCAGCACACAUUUACUGAGUUCCUAGAUCCUGUAACAGCGUGGAGCAGCUUCAGAUGUUCUUAGGGAAACAAAGCAUAACCACGGGAUAGACUAAAUAGUGACAUGUCAGUGAUCAGCAAAUAAUCAUUGCCACCAUGACAUGCUAUAGAAAUCCAGAGGUGGCAAAGAUUAAUUUGAGUGAUGUGGCUGGAAAAGUCUCCCUAAUGAAUAAGAAACUUGAACUUUUAAAGAAAGAGCAGAGGAAAAAAGUGAUUUUAGGUUUAAGUAAUGCUUAUGAAUAGAAAUAAGUUAUAUUUGGUGAGGAGGAGUGAUGGAUUUCUCUCCCUCUGGCAGAAACUGAGGCUUCAUGGAGGAAAGAGAGUGGAUUUAGAACAAAUAGCUUGCGUAAAUGUUUUAUGGAAAUUACUCCGGAUCCCCAACCAAGAGUCCGUUUUUGGAGAGAGCUACAGCAGAGAGGUAACACAAGCAGGGGAAACAGGAGAGGGAGAAGCAGGUUUCCUGCUGAGCAGGGAGACGGAUGCCACGGAUGCGGAUGCCACGGAUGCCAUGCGGGGCUCUGUCACUGGGAGGAUCCCUGGAAUCAUGAACUGAGCUGAAGACAGAUGCUUAAUGACGGAGCCACCCAGGUGCCCUGAGAAGAAAGUUAAAGAAAUUUAUUUUAAUAAACUCAUUGAGUGUUCCCAGUUUCUUUUCUUAGUGUCUUCGCUAAUUCUUUCUCGUUUAGGAGGUAGCAAAUAUUUUUAUUUCUCAGUAAAUUCUUUGCAAUAAAUAAAAUGUCUUUCAUUAGAAAUUAAAAUACAAAAACUGUAAAAUUAAAUAUAGUUUAAAAUACUUUAAAAAUUUCUGAACAGGAACUGUUUGUUCUUAU